This 465-nucleotide ribosomal RNA is filed under the name Triticum aestivum (bread wheat). RNAcentral's name for it is "partial small subunit ribosomal RNA". Lineage: Eukaryota; Viridiplantae; Streptophyta; Magnoliopsida; Poales; Poaceae. The record is from RNAcentral.
AUGUGGAAAUGCUUACACAAUGCAAUCCCGUGUUACAGUGUUCUCGCAAAUCGUCAUAUAGGCAGUAGGUCACACUGCCCACACUGUACAGAAGGAGCAGAAGAUGUUCGUCAUGCGAUGUUUACUUGCAACAGAGGUCGGGCAGUCUGGACUGCGUUGGGACUUGAUUCCUUGGUUUCAGGAGCUAGUACCAAUCGGACUGGGGCAGGUACACUCGAGCUUCUUCUUUGCGAUGAUGAACAUCAGGGUGUGUACACAGAUGGAGUUUACUUGCCCGAGGUUGUAGCGGCGACCUGUUGGUAUCUAUGGUGGCAGCGCAGAUAAUUUGUUCGCGGAGAAACAAUCCUAAAUCCUCAGCGGACGGCGAUGGCGAUCCAAGCUGUAACUCUGAACUUUGUCCGUGCUGCUGGGAAAACGAAGAGCUCCCGCAGACUGAAUAAGUGGCCGGUGGUUCUUGCAAAUUAG